UGACAAAAUAAAAUGUUGGGUUUUGUCAGAAAAUAGUCGUGGAAUGCAACGGGCUGGAAAAUAGCAAGGGAAAGUAUAGAGAUGGAAACAGGGAAAGUAACCGUUGAUAAAGUAGGAGGAAAAUCAACAGUGACAAGAUGCUUCUCCAAGUAUCCUCUCAAAUUCAUUAUACCCACAAAGGUGGGUCCUUCCAAAACUGAUGCUGUUUGGAUUUACACACUCACCUAUGGUGGUGGUAUUGUCUCUGGAGACUCCAUAUCAUGUGAAUUUAUCAUUGGACAUGGAUGUACUGCUGUCCUAACAACCCAAGCUUCUACCAAGGUGUACAAGUCCUUGGGGUCCAAGUGUUCUGAACAAAUUCUUGAGGCAAGAAUUGGCAGUGAUUCCCUUUUGGCUGUCAUUCCAGAUCCAGUGACAUGUUUUUCAACUGCAAGAUACUCUCAGAAACAAAUCUUUAGAGUACUAUCAGACUCAAGUUUGGUAGUUGUUGAUUGGAUCACUAGUGGCCGCCAUGAAAGUGGAGAAAAAUGGGAUUUUGAACUUUAUAAGAGCAGCAACAACAUUUUCUUGGAUGACGAUCAACCUUUGUUUCUUGAUACUGGAAUUGCUGGUGUUUUUCGGUCUUUGUUUCGCAUGGCCAGUAAUAUUUCUGGUAUUGCUAGAGCAAGGAAGCGCUGGCAUUAUCAGAGAACGUAUGCGAGACUACCAAGUUAUUGCAAUGGUUAUACUCUUGGGGCCAAAGCUGAAGCACAUUCAAAGUCAAGUUCAAGAAAAUGUGAAAAGGAUAAUGUCUGAACAGUUGCAUAUGCCUUUUUCUGGAUUGAGCGGAAACGUAAAAUCAAAUUCCAGCACUUUCUUCACCAAGCCACCUUUUAUUGCAUCCUGCAGCUUAUUUGGUCCUAAGGGAAUAGGCAUUGUUGUCAGAAUAGCUGCCAUGACAACGGAAUCAGUGUACAGGUUCUUGCAACAUCAACUGGCUGACAUGGAGCCUCUUAUUGGGGUUUUACCGUAUCGUUGAACAAGCUUAAUGAUUUUUUUUUUUUCUUUUUCUUUUUCUGUCAUAACUUAUGAUGUAGUUCUGUAUUGCUGCUAGAAUUUUGCCGGUUAUCAUGGUCUCUGUGUGUUCUAUUGCUGCUGCCUUGCAUAUCUUCAAUCAGAAUAACAUCUCCCGGCACAUUCCCCUUCUUUAAAAUUUAGACAACUGAGGUUAGAGAACUGCCGGACAAUUUCACGGUGAUAUAUUGCAGAGCUUAUAAGUGGUAAACUCCAAAUAAUAAAGUGCUUGGUUUUAGUCUUGAUCUUGUUUGGAUUUCGAGCUCAAUUAAACCAAAUGUUAUCUA
Molecule: RNA transcript, 1340 nt
Organism: Ricinus communis (castor bean)
Lineage: Eukaryota; Viridiplantae; Streptophyta; Magnoliopsida; Malpighiales; Euphorbiaceae
Gene name: urease accessory protein D
Exons: 9
Source: RefSeq, a predicted model, not a curated record